ACCUGCAGUCGAGCGGGGGAAGGUAGCUUGCUACUGGACCUAGCGGCGGACGGGUGAGUAAUGCUUAGGAAUCUGCCUAUUAGUGGGGGACAACAUCUCGAAAGGGAUGCUAAUACCGCAUACGUCCUACGGGAGAAAGCAGGGGAUCUUCGGACCUUGCGCUAAUAGAUGAGCCUAAGUCGGAUUAGCUAGUUGGUGGGGUAAAGGCCUACCAAGGCGACGAUCUGUAGCGGGUCUGAGAGGAUGAUCCGCCACACUGGGACUGAGACACGGCCCAGACUCCUACGGGAGGCAGCAGUGGGGAAUAUUGGACAAUGGGGGGAACCCUGAUCCAGCCAUGCCGCGUGUGUGAAGAAGGCCUUAUGGUUGUAAAGCACUUUAAGCGAGGAGGAGGCUACUUUAGUUAAUACCUAGGGAUAGUGGACGUUACUCGCAGAAUAAGCACCGGCUAACUCUGUGCCAGCAGCCGCGGUAAUACAGAGGGUGCGAGCGUUAAUCGGAUUUACUGGGCGUAAAGCGUGCGUAGGCGGCUUAUUAAGUCGGAUGUGAAAUCCCCGAGCUUAACUUGGGAAUUGCAUUCGAUACUGGUGAGCUAGAGUAUGGGAGAGGAUGGUAGAAUUCCAGGUGUAGCGGUGAAAUGCGUAGAGAUCUGGAGGAAUACCGAUGGCGAAGGCAGCCAUCUGGCCUAAUACUGACGCUGAGGUACGAAAGCAUGGGGAGCAAACAGGAUUAGAUACCCUGGUAGUCCAUGCCGUAAACGAUGUCUACUAGCCGUUGGGGCCUUUGAGGCUUUAGUGGCGCAGCUAACGCGAUAAGUAGACCGCCUGGGGAGUACGGUCGCAAGACUAAAACUCAAAUGAAUUGACGGGGGCCCGCACAAGCGGUGGAGCAUGUGGUUUAAUUCGAUGCAACGCGAAGAACCUUACCUGGCCUUGACAUACUAGAAACUUUCCAGAGAUGGAUUGGGCCUUCGGGAAUCUAGAUACAGGCUGCAUGGU
RNAcentral lists this ribosomal RNA (998 nucleotides) under Acinetobacter baumannii. RNAcentral's name for it is "bacterial SSU rRNA". It matches the Rfam family "Bacterial small subunit ribosomal RNA", at positions 53 to 1049 of the family's 1533-position model. Lineage: Bacteria; Pseudomonadati; Pseudomonadota; Gammaproteobacteria; Moraxellales; Moraxellaceae. The record is from RNAcentral.